Molecule: long non-coding RNA, 314 nt
Filed under: Apteryx rowi (Okarito brown kiwi)
Lineage: Eukaryota; Metazoa; Chordata; Aves; Apterygiformes; Apterygidae
Description: lncRNA (ENSARWG00000009954.1)
Source: RNAcentral
CGCAGCAGGGCCCGGGGCCGCCCGCGGCUCCCGCGCCCUCGCUCUCAGACCGCUGACAGAAACGUGCCGUAUCCCAGGUUCCCCCCCCCCCCAAAUUGUGACUGAAACGUGCCCCCGUUCAGGGUUUUUUUCCCCCUCAAACUAACUCGGCCUGUCCUUUAUUCUGGUAGAACCGAGGAGCAGGAUGGUGGAGGAGGACAGGGAGUGACAGCGUCAGGUGCGCUAGGUGCAGACUUGCAAAAGGGUAACCGCUGAUGUGGCUGUGAAGUAGCACUGAGGCACUCCUGCUAUUUUUAGAGAUUCCUCAUUGCUUU